Molecule: ribosomal RNA, 823 nt
Filed under: Streptomyces sp. AKB-2008-LO14
Lineage: Bacteria; Bacillati; Actinomycetota; Actinomycetes; Kitasatosporales; Streptomycetaceae
Description: bacterial SSU rRNA
Rfam family: Bacterial small subunit ribosomal RNA
Source: RNAcentral
GUUUGAUCCUGGCUCAGGACGAACGCUGGCGGCGUGCUUAACACAUGCAAGUCGAACGAUGAAGCCUUUCGGGGUGGAUUAGUGGCGAACGGGUGAGUAACACGUGGGCAAUCUGCCCUUCACUCUGGGACAAGCCCUGGAAACGGGGUCUAAUACCGGAUAACACUCUGUCCUGCAUGGGACGGGGUUGAAAGCUCCGGCGGUGAAGGAUGAGCCCGCGGCCUAUCAGCUUGUUGGUGGGGUGAUGGCCUACCAAGGCGACGACGGGUAGCCGGCCUGAGAGGGCGACCGGCCACACUGGGACUGAGACACGGCCCAGACUCCUACGGGAGGCAGCAGUGGGGAAUAUUGCACAAUGGGCGAAAGCCUGAUGCAGCGACGCCGCGUGAGGGAUGACGGCCUUCGGGUUGUAAACCUCUUUCAGCAGGGAAGAAGCGAGAGUGACGGUACCUGCAGAAGAAGCGCCGGCUAACUACGUGCCAGCAGCCGCGGUAAUACGUAGGGCGCAAGCGUUGUCCGGAAUUAUUGGGCGUAAAGAGCUCGUAGGCGGCUUGUUGCGUCGGUUGUGAAAGCCCGGGGCUUAACCCCGGGUCUGCAGUCGAUACGGGCAGGCUAGAGUGUGGUAGGGGAGAUCGGAAUUCCUGGUGUAGCGGUGAAAUGCGCAGAUAUCAGGAGGAACACCGGUGGCGAAGGCGGAUCUCUGGGCCAUUACUGACGCUGAGGAGCGAAAGCGUGGGGAGCGAACAGGAUUAGAUACCCUGGUAGUCCACGCCGUAAACGUUGGGAACUAGGUGUGGCGACAUUCCACGUCGUCGGUGCCGCA